UGAGGAAUAUUGGUCAAUGGGGGCAACCCCGAACCAGCCAAGUCGCGUGAAGGAUGAAGGUCUUAUGGAUUGUAAACUUCUUUUACACGGGAAUAAAGCGGGGGACGUGUCCCUCUUUGCAUGUACCGUGUGAAUAAGGAUCGGCUAACCCCGUGCCAGCAGCCGCGGUAAUACGGAGGAUCCGAGCGUUAUCCGGAUUUAUUGGGUUUAAAGGGUGCGCAGGCGGGAUGUUAAGUCGGCGGUGAAAUUUUGCAGCUCAACUGUAAAAGGGCCUUCGAUACUGGCCUUCUUGAGUGUGGAUGAAGUAGGCGGAAUUUGUGGUGUAGCGGUGAAAUGCUUAGAUAUCACGAGGAACUCCGAUUGCGCAGGCAGCUUACUAAGCCACAACUGACGCUCAUGCACGAAGGCGUGGGGAUCAAACA
This 422-nucleotide ribosomal RNA is filed under the name uncultured bacterium. RNAcentral's name for it is "bacterial SSU rRNA". It matches the Rfam family "Bacterial small subunit ribosomal RNA", at positions 355 to 774 of the family's 1533-position model. The record is from RNAcentral.